GACGAACGCUGGCGGCGUGCUUAACACAUGCAAGUCGUACGGUAAGGCCCUUUCGGGGGUACACGAGUGGCGAACGGGUGAGUAACACGUGAGUAACCUGCCCACAACUUUGGGAUAACGCUAGGAAACUGGUGCUAAUACUGGAUAUGUGCUCCUGCUGCAUGGUGGGGGUUGGAAAGCUCCGGCGGUUGUGGAUGGACUCGCGGCCUAUCAGCUUGUUGGUGGGGUAGUGGCCUACCAAGGCGGCGACGGGUAGCCGGCCUGAGAGGGUGACCGGCCACAUUGGGACUGAGAUACGGCCCAGACUCCUACGGGAGGCAGCAGUGGGGAAUAUUGCACAAUGGGCGCAAGCCUGAUGCAGCAGCGCCGCGUGCGGGAUGACGGCCUUCGGGUUGUAACCCGCUUUCAGCAGGGACGAAGCUUUUUGUGACGGUACCUGCAGAAGAAGCACCGGCUAACUACGUG
This 465-nucleotide ribosomal RNA is filed under the name uncultured bacterium. RNAcentral's name for it is "partial 16S ribosomal RNA". It matches the Rfam family "Bacterial small subunit ribosomal RNA", at positions 28 to 507 of the family's 1533-position model. The record is from RNAcentral.